This 609-nucleotide ribosomal RNA is filed under the name uncultured phototrophic eukaryote. RNAcentral's name for it is "bacterial SSU rRNA". It matches the Rfam family "Bacterial small subunit ribosomal RNA", at positions 164 to 795 of the family's 1533-position model. The record is from RNAcentral.
UAAUACCCCAUAUGCUUUCGAGUGAAAUGGAUUUAUAAUUAUCUGCCUAAAGAAAAGCUCGCGGCUGAUUGGCUUGUUGGUAAGGUAAGAGCUUACCAAGGCGACGAUCAGUAUCUGGUUUGAGAGGACGAUCAGACACACUGGAACUGAGACACGGUCCAGACUCCUACGGGAGGCAGCAGUGGGGAAUUUUCCGCAAUGGGCGAAAGCCUGACGGAGCAAUACCGCGUGAGGGAAGACUGCCUAUGGGUUGUAAACCUCUUUUUUCAGGGAGGAAUAAAAUGACGUGUACCUGAAGAAUAAGCAUCGGCUAACUCCGUGCCAGCAGCCGCGGUAAGACGGAGGAUGCAAGUGUUAUCCGGAAUCACUGGGCGUAAAGCGUCUGUAGGUGGUUUAAUAAGUCAACUGUUAAAUCUUGAGGCUCAACUUCAAAACCGCAGUCGAAACUAUUAGACUAGAGUAUAGUAGAGGUAAAGGGAAUUUCCAGUGGAGCGGUGAAAUGCGUAGAUAUUGGAAAGAACACCGAUGGCGAAAGCACUUUACUGGGCUAUUACUAACACUCAGAGACGAAAGCUAGGGUAGCAAAUGGGAUUAGAUACCCCAGUAGUC